GAUGAACGCUGGCGGCGUGCCUAAUACAUGCAAGUCGAGCGAACAGACGAGGAGCUUGCUCCUCUGACGUUAGCGGCGGACGGGUGAGUAACACGUGGAUAAUCUACCUAUAAGACUGGGAUAACUUCGGGAAACCGGAGCUAAUACCGGAUAAUAUAUUGAACCGCAUGGUUCAAUAGUGAAAGACGGUUUUGCUGUCACUUAUAGAUGGAUCCGCGCCGCAUUAGCUAGUUGGUAAGGUAACGGCUUACCAAGGCAACGAUGCGUAGCCGACCUGAGAGGGUGAUCGGCCACACUGGAACUGAGACAGGGUCCAGGCUCCUACGGGAGGCAGCAGUAGGGAAUCUUCCGCAAUGGGCGGAAGCAUGACGGAGCGACGCCGCGUGAGUGAUGAAAGUCUUCGGAUCGUAAAACUCUGUUAUUAGGGAAGAACAAAUGUGUAAGUAACUAUGCCCGUCUUGACGGUACCUGAUCAGAAAGCCCCGGCUAACUACGUG
This 497-nucleotide ribosomal RNA is filed under the name uncultured bacterium. Its description in RNAcentral is "partial 16S ribosomal RNA". It matches the Rfam family "Bacterial small subunit ribosomal RNA", at positions 28 to 507 of the family's 1533-position model. The record is from RNAcentral.